UCCUCUCCUCCUCCUCUCCCCUUCCUCUCCCCUUCCUCUCCUCCUCCUCUCCCCUUCCUCUCCCCCUCCUCUCCCCUUCCUCUCCCCUUCCUCUCCUCCUCCUCUCCCCUUCCUCUCCCCUUCCUCUCCUCCUCCUCUCCCCUUCCUCUCCCCUUCCUCUCCCCUUCCUCUCCCCUUCCUCUCCCCUUCCUCUCCCCCUCCUCUCCUCCUCCAAUGCUGUUGUAAAGGAUCUCCAUUCUCAGGUUGUUAACAGGUCUAUAUUUGGGUUGGAUUGUUUAUAGUGGUGUCUGUAUUAACAUCAUAUAGCUUUGUCCAACUCCAGUAGGAUUAUAAUCUAUGAAUCUCCUUCUCAUUAAAUAUAACCUCUGGUUUAAACUCUCAUUCCUUACUCUGUCCGCCUGUCAAUCCCUCUCCCUGCAUCAAAGCUUUAGUGACUUAGUUAACUCUGGUUCAGCUGCCUGAGUUGCUCUGGUUUAGCUGCCUGAGUUGCUCUGGUUCAGCUGCCUGAGUUGCUCUGGUUCAGCUGCCUGAGUUGCUCUGGUUUAGCUGCCUGAGUUGCUCUGGUUCAGCUGCCUGAGUUGCUCUGGUUCAGCUGCCUGAGUUGCUCUGGUUCAGCUGCCUGAGUUGCUCUGGUUCAGCUGCCUGAGUUGCUCUGGUUCAGCUGCCUGAGUUGCUCUGGUUCAGCUGCCUGAGUUGCUCUGGUUUAGCUGCCUGAGUUGCUCUGGUUCAGCUGCCUGAGUUGCUCUGGUUCAGCUGCCUGAGUUGCUCUGGUUUAGCUGCCUGAGUUGCUCUGGUUCAGCUGCCUGAGUUGCUCUGGUUUAGCUGCCUGAGUUGCUCUGGUUUAGCUGCCUGAGUUACCUGGCUGUUGGAUGGAAUUUGUAUGAAUGUUCUGUGAUGGUUGUAUGGAUGUUCUGUGAUGGUUGUGUGGAUGUUCUGUGAUGGUUGUGUGGAUGUUCUGUGAUGGUUGUAUGAUGUUCUGUGAUGGUUGUAUGGAUGUUCUGUGAUGGUUGUAUGGAUGUUCUGUGGUGGUUGUACGGAUGUUCUGUGAUGGUUGUAUGGAUGUUCUGUGAUGGUUGUGUGAAUGUUCUGUGAUGGUUGUAUGAAUGUUCUGUGAUGGUUGUAUGGAUGUUCUGUGAUGGUUGUAUGAAUGUUCUGUGAUCGUUGUAUGGAUGUUCUGUGAUGGUUGUAUGGAUGUUCUGUGAUGGUUGUAUGGAUGUUCUGUGAUGGUUGUGUGAAUGUUCUGUGAUGGUUGUAUGGAUGUUCUGUGAUGGUUGUAUGGAUGUUCUGUGGUGGUUGUAUGGAUGUUCUGUGAUGGUUGUAUGGAUGUUCUGUGAUGGUUGUGUGAAUGUUCUGUGAUGGUUGUAUGGAUGUUCUGUGAUGGUUGUAUGGAUGUUCUGUGAUGGUUGUAUGGAUGUUCUGUGGUGGUUGUAUGGAUGUUAUAUUGUGGUUGUAUGGAUGUUCUGUGGUGGUUGUAUGAAUGUUCUGUGAUGGUUGUAUGGAUGUUCUGUGGUGGUUGUAUGAAUGUUCUGUGAUGGUUGUAUGGAUGUUCUGUGAUGGUUGUAUGAAUGUUCUGUGGUGGUUGUAUGGAUGUUCUGUGAUGGUUGUAUGAAUGUUCUGUGAUGGUUGUGUGAAUGUUCUGUGAUGGUUGUAUGGAUGUUCUGUGAUGGUUGUAUGAAUGUUCUGUGGUGGUUGUAUGGAUGUUCUGUGAUGGUUGUAUGGAUGUUCUGUGAUGGUUGUAUGGAUGUUCUGUGAUGGUUGUAUGGAUGUUCUGUGAUGGUUGUAUGAAUGUUCUGUGAUGGUUGUGUGAAUGUUCUGUGAUGGUUGUAUGAUGUUCUGUGAUGGUUGUAUGAAUGUUCUGUGAUGGUUGUAUGAAUGCUCUGUGAUGGUUGUAUGAAUGUUCUGUGAUGGUUGUAUGGAUGUUAUGAGAUGGUUGUGUGGAUGUUAGAUGUUGUAUGAAUGUUCUGUGAUGGUUGUAUGAUGUUCUGUGAUGGUUGUAUGGAUGUUCUGUGAUGGUUGUAUGAAUGCUCUGUGAUGGUUGUAUGAAUGUUCUGUGAUGGUUGUAUGGAUGUUAUGAGAUGGUUGUGUGGAUGUUAGAUGUUGUAUGAAUGUUCUGUGAUGGUUGUGUGAAUGUUCUGUGAUGGUUGUGUGAAUGUUCUGUGAUGGUUGUGUGAAUGUUCUGUGAUGGUUGUAUGAAUGUUCUGUGAUGGUUGUGUGGAUGUUCUGUGAUGUUGUAUGAAUGUUAGGAGAUGGUUGUGUGGAUGUUCUGUGAUGGUUGUGUGGAUGUUAGGAGAUGGUUGUAUGAAUGUUAGGAGAUGGUUGUGUGGAUGUUCAGUGAUGGUUGUGUGAAUGUUCUGUGAUGGUUGUGUGAAUGUUCUGUGAUGGUUGUGUGAAUGUUCUGUGAUGGUUGUGUGAAUGUUCUGUGAUAGUUGUAUGAAUGUUCUGUGAUGGUUGUGUGGCUGUUCUGUGAUGGUUGUGUGGAUGUUAGGAGAUGGUUGUGUGGAUGUUAGGAGAUGGUUGUGUGGAUGUUCCUCCCAAUACAUUGAGGUUGACAGGUCUUCUCAGUGUUCUCUGACCCUGAGGUAGGACUAGGGGUCAGGGUGAGGUAGGGCUAGGGGUCAGGGUGAGGUAGGGCUAGUGGUCAGGGUGAGGUAGGGUUAGUGAGGUAGGGCUAGGGGACAGGGUUAGUGAGGUAGGGCUAGGGGUCAGGGUGAGGUAGGGCUAGGGGUCAGGGUGAGGUAGGGUUAGUGAGGUAGGGCUAGGGGUCAGGGUGAGGUAGGGCUAGGGGUCAGGGUGAGGUAGGGUUAGUGAGGUAGGGCUAGGGGUCAGGGUGAGGUAGGGCUAGUGAGGUAGGGCUAGGGGACAGGGUGAGGUAGAGCUAGGGAGGUAGGGCUAGGGGUCAGGGUGAGGUAGGGUUAGUGAGGUAGGGCUAGGGGACAGGGUGAGGUAGGGCUAGUGAGGUAGGGCUAGGGGUUUGGGUUGCUAGUUUGGUAGUGUUAGUUUGAUAGACAGGUGUCAGAUUGAGUGUCUGAGCCUGAACCAACUGACCAUCUAACCUUUAACCUCUGACCUGGAAGUCUUAUGAAUAACUCUCUGGCAUUGCUGUCAGACUUAGUAGCCGACAGGAAGUCUGAGGUCUUACGCGACACACAACUCUGUCCUGCAGACUUCCAAAUGACAUCGAUGCAUGAUUUAGGUAAAACCCACCGGACAGCCAGUGAUCUGAGGCUGGGUUUGUCCUGCAGUAAAGCAUCUUCCAGGACAGCUUAGGGGGUUUCAAUCCUAGCUCUGCACACACGAACAUCUCCUUAGACACCACGUUGUUAGCUAUGGCACGGUCUGAUGUGGGCCUGAGACCCGCUAACCUACCUGCUUCAACACCUCAACACUCACCGAACCACUACACUUUCUAUGGGACGACCUACCUGCUGCUAGCCCUCUCGACUACACAGAGCUCUAUCGGGUUCUACUGGGUUCACUCGGGUUCUACUAGAUUCUACCAGGUUCUGAGGUUCUACCAGGUUCGAAGGUUCUACCAGGUUCUGAGGUUCUACCAGGUUCUGAGGUUCUACCAGGCAUUACCAGGUUCUGAGGUUCGAAGGUUCUACCAGGUUCUGAGGUUCUACCAGGCAUUACCAGGUUCUGAGGUUCGAAGGUUCUACCAGGUUCUGAGGUUCUACCAGGUUCUGAGGUUCUACCAGGUUCUGAGUGAACAGGGAGAGGAGGGGGCUGAGAAGCUUUGGUCCUGAUAAUAUUAGUGGAACAUGACCUAAUGAGGCCACCAGACCUGCUCCAUACUGCCCAGCCUCCCUACAGCCACCAGACCUGCUCCAUACUGCCCAGCCUCCC
This 3846-nucleotide long non-coding RNA is filed under the name Salmo salar (Atlantic salmon). Its description in RNAcentral is "lncRNA (ENSSSAG00000111559.1)". Lineage: Eukaryota; Metazoa; Chordata; Actinopteri; Salmoniformes; Salmonidae. The record is from RNAcentral.